RNAcentral lists this long non-coding RNA (354 nucleotides) under Malus domestica (apple). RNAcentral describes it as "long non-coding RNA (MDOM_LNC011904)". The record is from RNAcentral. Lineage: Eukaryota; Viridiplantae; Streptophyta; Magnoliopsida; Rosales; Rosaceae.
UCCGAUAUCGAACGCCGGAGAUGGUGUGCCUGUUCCCGAGCCCAUUUCGUCCCAAAAACCUUGCAAAAACGCAAUUUUUAACUUCAAUUUCACACAUAAGCUUCAAAUUUCACGCAUGCAUCAACGAUUCAACAUAUGUGAUGUCGGUUUAAGGCUUAGGGUUUCAAUGGAAUCUCACCUGAAAAAUCGAUGACUGGGCCAACUCCUUGCUCAGCGGCGCACCACCAGAGACGACUGAGCCAAGUCCAACUUCGCCAGAGCCACGAUCAACGGCAGCGAAGGAUCGAGAGAGUGGGAGAAGGGGGAGAUCUGUGUGUGUGUGGGUCGAAUGGAGAAGGGGGAGAAGAGAGGUCA